AUGGCGCUCGCAUCCGGCACCACGGCCCCCCCGCUCCUCGGCCGCCUCCCGGGCACGGCGCGCCCCCACCUCGCCGUCUCCCCUUCGCCCUCCGCCCCUGUCUCCUCGGUCCGCUUCGCCGCCCGCGCCGGAGGCUCCCGCGCCGUCUCCCUCCGCGCCUCCGCGCCUCCAGCUGCGACCGCAACGCCUGGUAGCAUUGCACCAGCUAUCUCAUUGACAGAGAAGGCCUUGAAGCAUCUGAAUAGAAUGAGGUCCGAAAAGAAUGAAGAUCUCUGUUUGAGGAUUGGAGUUAAACAAGGUGGAUGCUCUGGCAUGUCUUACACCAUGGAGUUUGAGAGCCGAGGAAGCGCCAACCCCGACGAUUCAGUCAUCGAGUAUGAGGGUUUCACAAUAGUCUGCGACCCAAAGAGCCUUCUCUUCAUGUUUGGAAUGGAGCUGGACUACAGCGACGCCCUCAUUGGGGGCGGCUUCAACUUCCAGAACCCAAACGCGACGAAGACGUGCGGGUGCGGUAAGUCGUUUGCGACCAGCAAGGAAAUGCAGAGCACAGCAACUGCCUGCAACAACUGA
RNAcentral lists this ribosomal RNA (570 nucleotides) under Triticum aestivum (bread wheat). RNAcentral describes it as "partial small subunit ribosomal RNA". Lineage: Eukaryota; Viridiplantae; Streptophyta; Magnoliopsida; Poales; Poaceae. The record is from RNAcentral.